GUGCUCACUUUAACACACAUGUGCUAAAAAUUGGAAUGAUAUAGAGAUUAGCAUGACCCCUGGGCAAGGAUGACACACAAAUUUAUGAAGAUUCCAUAAAAAAA
Sciurus vulgaris (Eurasian red squirrel) is the source of this 104-nucleotide small nuclear RNA. The record is from Ensembl. NCBI's taxonomy places the organism in Eukaryota, Metazoa, Chordata, Mammalia, Rodentia, Sciuridae.